GAUGAAGAACGUAGCGAAAUGCGAUAAGUAAUGUGAAUUGCAGAAUUCAGUGAAGCAUCGAAUCUUUGAACGCACAUUGCGCCCGUCAGUAUUCUGGCGGGCAUGCCUGUUCGAGCGUCAUUACGCCCCUCAAGUCCCCUGUGGACUUGGUGUUGGGGAUCGGCGAGGCUGGUUUUCCAGCACAGCCGUCCCUUAAAUUAAUUGGCGGUCUCGCCGUGGCCCUCCUCUGCGCAGUAGUAAAACACUCGCAACAGGAGCCCGGCGCGGUCCACUGCCGUAAAACCCCCCAUCUUUUUAUAGUUGACCUCGAAUCAGGUAGGACUACCCGCUGAACUUAAGCAUAUCAAUAAGCGGAGGA
RNAcentral lists this unclassified non-coding RNA (358 nucleotides) under soil metagenome. RNAcentral's name for it is "partial contains 5.8S ribosomal RNA, internal transcribed spacer 2, and large subunit ribosomal RNA". The stretch from base 1 to 120 matches the Rfam family "5.8S ribosomal RNA", at positions 35 to 154 of the family's 154-position model. The record is from RNAcentral.